RNAcentral lists this ribosomal RNA (253 nucleotides) under uncultured bacterium. Its description in RNAcentral is "partial 16S ribosomal RNA". It matches the Rfam family "Bacterial small subunit ribosomal RNA", at positions 524 to 776 of the family's 1533-position model. The record is from RNAcentral.
UACGAAGGGUGCAAGCGUUAAUCGGAAUUACUGGGCGUAAAGCGUGCGUAGGUGGUCUUUUAAGUCCGUUGUGAAAGCCCUGGGCUCAACCUGGGAACUGCAGUGGAUACUGAGAGGCUAGAGUGUGUCAGAGGAUGGUGGAAUUCCCGGUGUAGCGGUGAAAUGCGUAGAGAUCGGGAGGAACAUCAGUGGCGAAGGCGGCCAUCUGGGACAACACUGACGCUGAGGCACGAAAGCGUGGGGAGCAAACAGG